This 247-nucleotide ribosomal RNA is filed under the name uncultured bacterium. RNAcentral's name for it is "partial 16S ribosomal RNA". It matches the Rfam family "Bacterial small subunit ribosomal RNA", at positions 28 to 249 of the family's 1533-position model. The record is from RNAcentral.
GAUGAACGCUAGCGACAGGCUUAACACAUGCAAGUCGGAGGGGCAGCAUGUAUUUGUAGCAAUACAGAUUGAUGGCGACCGGCGCGACGGGUGAGUAACGCGUAUGCAACUUACCUAUCAGGAGGGGGAUACGCCCGGACGAAAGUCGGAUUAACUACCCCAAUAAAACGACGGGGGUCCCGCAGUGGGGAAAUUAUUUUAGGUUAAAAGAUUCAUCGCUGAUAGAUAGGCAUGCGUUCCAGUUAGC